UACUUUCAUGAAUCUUUUUUAGAUAUGUCUGAAGGACAAACUGAAAGUCAGUUUCGCUGCCUAUACAACCCAAUCAAAAAACAUGAAAAUGAGGUAUUUCACUCCAGAUGAUAACUAAGAAAGAAUUGCGGAUUUUGACACACAUUCAGCAGAAUCUCCCUUGUACUAUUAUAAGCCUGGCUUUUGCUGUGCUGUGCUGGGGUAUUCAAGCAAGGUGGGAAUCUGGAAUGACAGAUUUACUGGAAGAGCCCCAGGUGAAAAGCUUUUUUGAUAUGCAGCGACAGCAAACUUCUGGGACUGAACAGAGCAUUACACCGAGGCAGAGUCAAGCUCACGAAGAGGCCAUGAACUUCCCUUUGGAACCAACCCAUAUUCAGAGGGAGCUGCACACCUGGUGCUGGAACAGCUGCGUUCUGUUGGGAAGCAAUGAAGUACAUACCGGAGAUGACAAGACUAUACCACUCCUUCUCAUCCUCUUGCUGUAAAUAGCCUCCAAUUAUUAUUAUUAUCUCAGACCUUCAUCUCAGCUCUCUAAUGAAAGGUUUUGCUUUAGCAUAUUCAGAGCGGCCUUGGAAGAAUGUUUAUAAUGAAGAGCUUCAGGAGCCGAGAAAGUAUUUAGCAAACCACUUGCUUGGGUGAGAACAGUUUUAUGAAAUUCCCAUGCUAGCAGCAGUGAGCAUAAGGAACAACCAAUGCAAACAUCACAGGCUCGUGGACUUGAUGCCUCUUCUUGGUGAGGACCAGAGCUACUGGCAAGGGGUGAAGCAGCCGCAGCUCUCUUGGUCCUUCUGCCCUGGGAAGCUCCAGCUGUCUUUGAGGAGAUGAAGACGUGGCUGGUGCUUUCAUACAGAAAGGCAUCUGAUAAUCGGAGGUGGGAAGGCAGCUCAGAAAAUGUGAUAAUCACAGCGCCAUUGCUAAUGCAGAUAACAACCUUUCUCAGUCAUUUCUCUGACAGUGUAUCUUUUUCUGCCUCAUUGGAGACUGAGGUGGGGAAUCAGGGCUGCUAUUCAUACACCCAGCCUGCUUUUUUUUUUUUUUUUUUCCAAAUAGGAUUCCAGAUGGCCAACAAUUUUGAUUCAGGUGAACAGCUCGUUUAGCAGUACUGGGCUGAUGUUUCGGAAAUUUCAAGAGCAAACAGCAACUCAGAAGCAAAAAUAACAUAGGAAGGGAAGCAAUAAAAUAUUGAAAUAGUGAUGGAUGUGCA
This 1204-nucleotide long non-coding RNA is filed under the name Anser brachyrhynchus (Pink-footed goose). RNAcentral's name for it is "lncRNA (ENSABRG00000017211.1)". The record is from RNAcentral. Lineage: Eukaryota; Metazoa; Chordata; Aves; Anseriformes; Anatidae.